GAUGAACGCUGGCGGCGUGCUUAACACAUGCAAGUCGAACGAAGCACUCUAUUUGAUUUUCUUCGGAAAUGAAGAUUUUGUGACCGAGUGGCGGACGGGUGAGUAACGCGUGGGUAACCUGCCCCAUACAGGGGGAUAACAGUUGGAAACGACUGCUAAUACCGCAUAAGCGCACAGUAUUGCAUGAUACAGUGUGAAAAACUCCGGUGGUAUGAGAUGGACCCGCGUCUGAUUAGCUAGUUGGUGGGGCAACGGCCUACCAAGGCGACGAUCAGUAGCCGACCUGAGAGGGUGACCGGCCACAUUGGGACUGAGACACGGCCCAAACUCCUACGGGAGGCAGCAGUGGGGAAUAUUGCACAAUGGGGGAAACCCUGAUGCAGCGACGCCGCGUGAACGAAGAAGUAUUUCGGUAUGUAAAGUUCUAUCAGCAGGGAAGAUAAUGACGGUACCUGACUAAGAAGCACCGGCCAAAUACGUGCCAGCCGCCGCGGUAA
This 497-nucleotide ribosomal RNA is filed under the name uncultured bacterium. Its description in RNAcentral is "partial 16S ribosomal RNA". It matches the Rfam family "Bacterial small subunit ribosomal RNA", at positions 28 to 523 of the family's 1533-position model. The record is from RNAcentral.